Molecule: ribosomal RNA, 389 nt
Filed under: Haptolina sp.
Lineage: Eukaryota; Haptophyta; Prymnesiales; Prymnesiaceae
Description: partial small subunit ribosomal RNA
Rfam family: Eukaryotic small subunit ribosomal RNA
Source: RNAcentral
AUUCCAGCUCCAAUAGCGUAUAUUAAAGUUGUUGCAGUUAAAACGCUCGUAGUCGGAUUUCGGGGCCUGCCUGCCGGUCUGCCGAUGGGUAUGCACUGGCAGGCGCGUCCUUCCUUCCGGAGACUGUCCCUACUCUUAACUGAGCGGGGUCGGGAGACGGAUCGUUUACUUUGAAAAAAUCAGAGUGUUUCAAGCAGGCAGCUCGCUCUUGCAUGGAUUAGCAUGGGAUAAUGAAAUAGGACUUUGGUGCUAUUUUGUUGGUUUCGAACACCGAAGUAAUGAUUAACAGGGACAGUCAGGGGCACUCGUAUUCCGCCGAGAGAGGUGAAAUUCUCAGACCAGCGGAAGACGAACCACUGCGAAAGCAUUUGCCAGGGAUGUUUUCAUCG